AUAGAAGAUGGGUUGCAGCUCAAUGAAAAAAGAAAAAAAAAAACCCCACUCCCAAAUUCGGUGGUGACCGAAGAAGAAGAAGAGAAGAAGAAAGAAGCUUAGGACGAAGGAAAUUGGUGGUCGAAAACAGUGUCGACGCCGUACAAACAAGGAUGUAGCUUAGGAAGAUCCCCACACCGAGACUACCCGCAUCACCUUUUGUCAAAGAGAGCAGGAAAAUCAAUCUCCGGUACAGGAUCCAAUAACACAAGAAUCUGACAUUUAAGGCAAGAAGAACACUAAGGAUCACUAGUUGGAAUGAAGACUAUUUCUUUUCUUUCCUUUCACAUUGAUACUCACUUGUAUAAGUUUGAUAGUUGAUGUUUUGGAGGUUUAAAGAGAAGUGACACAUUGUAACAAGGAUAGACAUGCAGGAUGAGAGUUUGGUUGGUUGUAUUGACACUGGUUGACCCCCUGCGAUCUGGCUAUUUACUGGGGAGAUUGCAGGUGAUAUAUGUAUAUAUGUGAACUCUGAAGCUUGAGAAAUUCUUUAAAUGCUAGAUAUUGUUUAUUUGUA
Long non-coding RNA from Carica papaya (papaya), 556 nucleotides. RefSeq lists it as uncharacterized. The record is from RefSeq and is a predicted model, not a curated record. NCBI's taxonomy places the organism in Eukaryota, Viridiplantae, Streptophyta, Magnoliopsida, Brassicales, Caricaceae.